UUGAAAUCUGGCCCUAGCGGUCCGAGUUGUAAUUUGUAGAGGAUGCUUUUGGUUAGGUGCCUUCUGAGUUCCCUGGAACGGGACGCCAGAGAGGGUGAGAGCCCCGUACGGUUGGACACCGAGCCUCUAUAUAGCUCCUUCGACGAGUCGAGUAGUUUGGGAAUGCUGCUCUAAAUGGGAGGUAAAUUUCUUCUAAAGCUAAAUACCGGCCAGAGACCGAUAGCGCACAAGUAGAGUGAUCGAAAGAUGAAAAGUACUUUGAAAAGAGGGUUAAAUAGCACGUGAAAUUGUUGAAAGGGAAGCGUUUGCGACCAGACUUUUUCCAGGCGGAUCAUCCGGUGUUCUCACCGGUGCACUUCGCCUGGUUUAGGCCAGCAUCGGUUCUCUUAGGGGGAUAAAGGCCUGGGGAACGUAGCUCCUUCGGGAGUGUUAUAGCCCCUAGCGUAAUACCCUUCGGGGGA
RNAcentral lists this ribosomal RNA (461 nucleotides) under Daldinia loculata. RNAcentral describes it as "eukaryotic LSU rRNA". It matches the Rfam family "Eukaryotic large subunit ribosomal RNA", at positions 115 to 585 of the family's 3401-position model. Lineage: Eukaryota; Fungi; Ascomycota; Sordariomycetes; Xylariales; Hypoxylaceae. The record is from RNAcentral.